Molecule: ribosomal RNA, 253 nt
Filed under: uncultured bacterium
Lineage: Bacteria
Description: partial 16S ribosomal RNA
Rfam family: Bacterial small subunit ribosomal RNA
Source: RNAcentral
UACGGAGGGUGCAAGCGUUAUCCGGAUUCACUGGGUUUAAAGGGUGCGUAGGUGGGCAGGUAAGUCAGUGGUGAAAUCUCCGGGCUUAACUCGGAAACUGCCAUUGAUACUAUCUUUCUUGAAUACCGUGGAGGUCAGCGGAAUAUGUCAUGUAGCGGUGAAAUGCUUAGAUAUGAUACAGAACACCAAUUGCGAAAGCAGCUUACUAUGCUAGUACUGACGCUGAGGCACGAAAGCGUGGGGAUCAAACAGG